GAUGAACGCUAGCGGCAGGCCUAAUACAUGCAAGUCGAACGCUCAGUAGCAAUACUGGGAGUGGCGCACGGGUGCGUAACGCGUACACAAUCUACCUCUAAGCGGGGGACACCUCCUGGAAACGGGGAUUAAUACCGCAUAAUAUGCCGAGGUCGCAUGACUUUGGUAUUAAAGCAGCAAUGCACUUAGAGAUGAGUGUGCGUCCCAUUAGGUAGUUGGUGAGGUAACGGCUCACCAAGCCUAUGAUGGGUAGCCGGUCUGAGAGGAUGGUCGGGCCACACGGGCACUGAGACACGGGCCCGACUCCUACGGGAGGCAGCAGUAAGGAUAUUGGUCAAUGGUGGAAACACUGAACCAGCCAUGCCGCGUGGAGGAAUAAGGUCCUACGGAUUGUAAACUCCUUUUGACGAGGAAGAAAGUGUUAGAUUUAUCUAAAUUUUGACGGUACUCGUAGAAUAAGCACCGGCUAACUCCGUGCCAGC
RNAcentral lists this ribosomal RNA (482 nucleotides) under uncultured bacterium. RNAcentral's name for it is "bacterial SSU rRNA". It matches the Rfam family "Bacterial small subunit ribosomal RNA", at positions 28 to 512 of the family's 1533-position model. The record is from RNAcentral.